GCCCGUAUGGCUCAGUUGGUAGAGCGUGUCACUAGCAAUGACAAGGUUUUUUCUCCAAAGGUUACCUUGUCACGGGGGAAAUAAGGUCGCUAGUUUGAAUCUGGCUAUGGGCA
Molecule: non-coding RNA, 113 nt
Organism: Parathielavia appendiculata
Lineage: Eukaryota; Fungi; Ascomycota; Sordariomycetes; Sordariales; Chaetomiaceae
Source: the annotation of a RefSeq genome assembly